This 1234-nucleotide ribosomal RNA is filed under the name metagenome. Its description in RNAcentral is "bacterial LSU rRNA". It matches the Rfam family "Bacterial large subunit ribosomal RNA", at positions 1564 to 2808 of the family's 2925-position model. The record is from RNAcentral.
UGAAUACGAGACGCUACGGCGUCGAAGCAGUCUAUGUCAGACUUCCAAAAAAGCUCGCAAUGUCAUAAACAAAUAAUGCCUGUACCAUAACCGACACAGGUGGGUAGGUAGAGUAUACUAAGGGGCGCGAGAUAACUCUCUCUAAGGAACUCGGCAAAAUGACUCCGUAACUUCGGGAGAAGGAGUGCCUUAUUUAUAAGGUUGCAAUAACAAGAUCCAAGCAACUGUUUAUCAAAAACACAGGUCUCCGCUAAGUCGUAAGACGAUGUAUGGGGGCUGACGCCUGCCCAGUGCCAGAAGGUUAAAGAAGUUGGUUAGCAUUCGCGAAGCUGAUAACUGAAGCCCUGGUGAACGGCGGCCGUAACAAUAACGGUCCUAAGGUAGCGAAAUUCCUUGUCGGGUAAGUUCCGACCCGCACGAAAGGCGUAAUGAUUUGGAUACUGUCUCGGAGAGGGGCUCGGUGAAAUAGACUUGUCUGUGAAGAUGCGGACUACCUGCACCUGGACAGAAAGACCCUAUGAAGCUUUACUGUAACUUGAAAUUGAAAUUGGACUUUAUUUGCGCAGCAUAGGUGGGAGGCUUUGAGAGUAUUCUUGCGGGAAUAUUGGAGCCAUCAGUGAGAUACCACUCUUGUAAUGUUAGAUUUCUAACUUUGUAUCAUUAUCUGGUCAAAGAACAGUUUCAGGCGGGCAGUUUGACUGGGGCGGUCGCCUCCCAAAUGGUAACGGAGGCCUACAAAGGUUUCCUCUGAACGGGUAGAAAUCGUAUCUAGAGUGUAAAGGCAUAAGGAAGCUUGACUGUGAGACCUACAAGUCGAGCAGGGACGAAAGUCGGUCUUAGUGAUCUGACGGUGCUGAGUGGAAAGGCCGUCACUCAACGGAUAAAAGUUACUCUAAGGAUAACAGGCUGAUCUCCCCCAAGAGUUCACAUCGAUGGGGAGGUUUGGCACCUCGAUGUCGGCUCAUCGCAUCCUGGGGCGGUAGUGCGUCCCAAGGGUUGGGCUGUUCGCCCAUGAAAGCGGUACGCGAGCUGGGUUCAGAACGUCGUGAGACAGUUCGGUCCAUAUCCGGUGUAGGCGUUAGAAUAUUGAGAGGAGCCUUCUUUAGUACGAGAGGACCGAGAAGGACAUACCUCUGGUGUACCAGUUAUCGUGCCAACGGUAAACGCUGGGUAGCUAUGUAUGGAGAGGAUAACCGCUGAAAGCAUCUAAGUGGGAAGCCCACCUCAAGAUAAG